CAGUAGCCACGGUAAUACGGAGGGUGCAAGCGUUAAUCGGAAUUACUGGGCGUAAAGCGCACGCAGGCGGUCUGACAAGUCAGAUGUGAAAUCCCCGGGCUUAACCUGGGAACUGCAUUUGAAACUGUCAGGCUGGAGUCUUGUAGAGGGGGGUAGAAUUCCAGGUGUAGCGGUGAAAUGCGUAGAGAUCUGGAGGAAUACCGGUGGCGAAGGCGGCCCCCUGGACAAAGACUGACGCUCAGGUGCGAAAGCGUGGGGAGCAAACAGGAUUAGAGACCCCAGUAGUCCCUGUCUCUUAUAC
Molecule: ribosomal RNA, 301 nt
Filed under: uncultured bacterium
Lineage: Bacteria
Description: partial 16S ribosomal RNA
Rfam family: Bacterial small subunit ribosomal RNA
Source: RNAcentral